Molecule: long non-coding RNA, 443 nt
Filed under: Bos indicus x Bos taurus (hybrid cattle)
Lineage: Eukaryota; Metazoa; Chordata; Mammalia; Artiodactyla; Bovidae
Description: lncRNA (ENSBIXG00005002653.1)
Source: RNAcentral
GGGCUGGAAGACUGCAGACUACAUUUUCAAAUCCAUUGCCAACUGGUCUACUAUAGGAUUUCUUAAGAAAGUUCCUAGGAUGAUAUGUAAAUCUACUCUUAUUCUUUCUUUGAGCCUAGCUGUUCACACCAAGGAGUUAAAUCUUUAAGGAAGAACACUAUGUCAAGCACCUACGUUAACAACUCAUGUUCAAGAAUGAUGUAAGGAACUCUUUUACGAAAAAUGAAAAGCUCUUAGUGACAAGAACCAUGGUUACCAUGCAACACUAUCAACAACAGCACCCUGGCAAAGAAAGGAAGAAAAAGAAGAAAAGGAGAAGAAAGGAAAGAAGGAAACAAGAGAGAGAAAAAAGGAUGGGGAAGAACUUUUUUUUUACUUUGAAUAUCCUGUGCAUUUAGCCAUUAUUGGAAAAGGAAUGAAGCAGAGCAAAGGCUAAUAGAGUU